ACAUCCAUGUGAAGGGAAAGUGAGCAGGUGGUGGAUGGAGAAGGAUUGGGAUUUAAGAUCUAUCUAUGUUGGGAUUUGGGAACAAGACUAGUUUUCUCUUCUAAAUAUCCUUACAAGCUUUUCAGUUACACAGAACUCAGGAUAGCUUCUGAAAGGUGGGCAUUAGAGUUGAACUUAGAAUGUAGAUUUACCUUUUUGCUACUAUAACAAAUACCUUAAAUACCUAACUUAAAAGGAAGAAUGAGGGGACUGGGGAAUAUGGCUUAGUGGCCCUGGUUUCAAUUGCUUAGUAGCACAUAAACAGAAAAGGCAAGAAAUGGCACUGUGGCUCAAGUGGAGAGUGCUAGCCUUGAGCAAAAGAAGUCUAGGAACAGUGCCCAGGCACUGAGUUCAACCCUCAGGACUGGCAAAAUAAAAAAAGGAAGAAUGGUGUAUUUUGGCUCAUAGUGUCAUCAGUUUUAGUCCAGGCUCACUUGGCCUUUUUGCUUUUUGCCUGUGGUGGCACACAGUUCAUCAAGGAGUGGGCAUGUGCUUCAGGAGACUGCUCACAUCAUGACAUCCAAAAAUGAAAGAAAGAGAGACACUAGGGAGCCAAGGUUUCAAUAUACACUUUGAGGUUUGUCCACACAAUGACAACUUACUUUCCCUAGAAGCCACCUCUUAAAAGCUCUACUACCUCCUAACAUCACUGUACAUUGGAGAAAUGUCUUAACCCACAGUUCUUUGAGAGACAUUUAAUAUCCAAAUGAUAGCAAUGGACAAUAGUUGAUCAGGCAGAUGUGGAAGAAGAAUGACAGUGGUAGCUUGGAUAAAGAUAUGUUGGCAAGAUAGUGUGCUAUAUGUAUUUAUUAUUCAAAAAAAUUAAGUACCAUCCAUAUGUGAAGUACCAGUUUUGAUGUGAUCAAUUAAAAAUGGAAAAGAACUGUUUCUUUUUGGAACUCAUGUUCAAAAGAGUGAGAGGGAGUUAGAUAAUAGAAAAGGAAUAUAUACUUAUAUGUGGCAAUUCAUAUGGUGAUAUGUUUUAAGAAGGAAACAAAUCAGAUACGUAGAGAAACUGGAGAAGAGGGACCCAUUUAGAUGGAGUGGGUCUGGAAAAGCCUUUU
Molecule: long non-coding RNA, 1103 nt
Organism: Perognathus longimembris pacificus (Pacific pocket mouse)
Lineage: Eukaryota; Metazoa; Chordata; Mammalia; Rodentia; Heteromyidae
Exons: 3
Source: RefSeq, a predicted model, not a curated record